CCUUAAAAUAACCCGGACCCUCCCCCCCACCCAGCCGGGUCUGCCGGGUCCAGAUCGGAUAAACAGGACACAGCAAGGGAACGGUUCUGGUGGUUCUGGAAUAAACUGUGGAUUUCUCUGAGAGACUGUUGGACCUGUCAUGGCGUCUGCCAGCGUCUCCCGCCCCGGUUCUGGAGGUUCUGGAGGUUCUGCUCUGGCAUUCGAGGAUUAUUCUCUGUACAGUAACCUGACUGAUGACGAGCUGCUGCAGCUGGCCAUCGAGCGCAGCCUGACGGAGACACAGUGCAGCGGUGCUGCCGCCGUGCAGACCGCCGCCGUGCAGACCGCCGCUGUGCAGACCGCCGCUGUGCAGACCGCCGCCGUGCAGACCGCCGCCGUGCAGACCGCCGCCGUGCAGACCGCCCGUCUCCAGGACAACGUCCCGGAACCGACCAGCACCAGCAGAUAUCAGCGUCGAACCCCCAGCAGCCAGAAUCCUCCUGCAGCCCAGACCAGCGCCACCUACAGCUCCCCCAACCCACCGAAGGAGAAACCGCCCGACCUGAAGACCUUCAAUGGAACGGUGAGUCGCUUCAUGACAGGUUCUGGGAAGAGGAUGGUGGCGUACUACAAAAAUGACGGCAGCUUGGUCCACAUCGCUCCAGAACCUGAGGAGGAGGAGGAGCCUCUGUUCCGGGCGAUUCGUGAAGGCAACGCCAACAAGGUGAGAGCCCUGGCCGUGUGUCCGGGAACCAACCUGAUGCUGCCCAGUAAGCCGGGCUGGCUGGCCAUCCACCAGGCCGCCUGGUUCGGACAGGACUCCUGUCUGCGAAUGCUGCUGUCAGCUCAACCAGGAAUGGUCAACAAGAGGACGUCACGUGGCGAGACGCCGCUGCUGGUCGCCGUCAGCAGAGUCCAACUGGGAUGUGUUCAAGUGCUGCUGGAAAACGGAGCCGACCCAGAAAUCCCGAACUAUGAGAAAGAGACUCCGCUGUACAAAGCCUGUGAGCGGAACAGCGCGGCCAUUGUUGCGGCGCUGCUGAACCACGGCGUGGCUGUGAACACGCGGUGCAUUCAGGGAUGGACCGCCCUGCAGGAAACCGUGGUCCGCAGCAACCUGGAGAUCUGCGACAUGCUGCUGAAGGCCGGCGCCAAGCUGAACCUGCGGAACAUGUACGGCAUCACGCCGCUUUUCACCGCCGCUCAGAACGGCCAGAUGGCCGCGCUGCGCUUCCUCAUCAAACACGGCGCAGACGUGAACACUCAGGCUGAUGAUGGAGCCACGGCGCUGUAUGAAGCCGCUAAGAUGGGACACCAGGAAGUGGUGCAGAUGCUUCUGUCCCUGAAGGCUGACGCCAACAAGCCUGGGAAAACGGGAAUGUUGCCGCUCCACAUCGCCGCGCAGAGAGGAAGUGACGCAAUCGUCUCCAUGUUGAUCCCAGUCACCAGCAAGGCCCGGGUCCGGCGGACCGGGAUCAGCCCGCUGCACCUGGCAGCGGAGCGUAACCGUGACGACGUCCUGGAGAUGCUGAUCGAGGCGGGCUUCGACGUCAACGCCCAGCUGUCGGAGGAGCGCACGCGGCUGUACGAGGACCGCCGCAGCACGGCGCUCUACUUCGCCGUCAUCAACAACAACACGGAGGCGGCGCGCAUGCUGCUGGCGGCCGGCGCCGACCCCAACCUGGACAUGUUCCGGCCGCUCAUGGUGGCCUCCAGGAUGGGCUGCAUCCAGAUCGUCAAGCUGCUGGUGGAGCACGGCGCCGACAUCAACGCCGCCAUCCCCACCCACCCCACCACCUUCCCGGCCGUCUACAUGUUCUCCAUGAAGUACCUGCCGCUCUUCAAGUACCUGCUGGACCACGGCGGCCACGCCCUGCCCUGCUUCCACUGCCGCUACGGUGGCCGGCCGCACCCGCCCCUCAAGACCAGCCGCUCCAACUGGAACGAGGACGCCGACCGCCCGGCUGCUCAGGGGCCGGUCACGAGGGGCGUGCAGUUCUGUGAGAUGAUCUCAGUCCCAAGUAUCUGUCGGUGGGCGGGGCCAAUCAUCGACAUCCUGUUGGACUACGUUGGUCAUGUGACCCUCUGCUCCAGACUGAUGGAGCACCUGGACAGUUACUCUGGCUGGAGCACCAUCAAGGAGAAGGCAGCCCCUCCGCGGCCGCUGCUGCAGCUCUGCAGGCUGCAGAUCCUGCAGCUGGUGGGACGCAGGAAGCUGAAACGGCUGCCGCUUCCUGGUGGCCUGAUCCGCUUCCUGAAGCACCAGGAGCUUCCUCCGGACGACGAGAGCUGAAGCAGAGCGCUGACCCGGUGAGCAUUCAGGACUUGCUCCAGACGGCGUCUCGCCUGGGACGCGUCCAGCAUCAAUCCAGUGGCGACACCACCACAGAAGAGGAGGAGGAGGACUCUCACACAGACUCUGAAUGGCUGGAACGUCUGACACCUUAAUGAUCGCUGGUCAUUACUCUGGAGAGGUCAGCCACCCUCCAUUACUCGCCGCCAUGAUGGGGGCUGAGCUCACGGCGCCUUCACCUCAAGACGACGGCGUAACAUCCGUCCUGCUUCCCCGCGCCAGACAGAACCUCCAUCAGAACCUCCAUCCAACCCCAACCGAUGAUCUCAGAACCUGGAAAUAUCAACAAGAGAAAGAAACCAAAACUACACACACCGCUACACCCACUGCUACACUGCCCCAAAACACAACCAGGACCAAUGGGGCCCAAACCAACACACACACCAACCCCUCUGAACACACUGAUGAUGAGCAUUAGUUUGAGCGGCGCAUAUGUGGGUGUGAUUGACAGCAGUAAGAUCCUCCUCUUACUUCUGAUUGGUAGUUUCUGACCUAGCGAUGUAUUUGUGUAAAUGAUAGCUGGAUCAUUUUCAGAUGAUCUGCUGCCACCUGGUUGCAGUUUCAGCAAAUAUGGAAAAAACGGUUUUAUGACGGUUCGGUACUGCAGCUUUAAGGCAGAACUAAACAAUCAGGCGAUCAUAGAUGGAGCAGCUGGAAAUCCCAACCUGCACCUGAAUGCACCGCCCUCCCCAGCCGGCUCUCUCUCUCCUCCCUCCGCUCUUUAUUCUCCCUGGUACCGACCUGACCCAGACCAGACCGAUCCCAGCUGUGGACCGGACCAGAUGCUGGCCGGUAUUCCUGCUGCUCCUGCUGAUUAUGAUGAUGGGAGUCCUGAUCUUCUGCUGUGUCUCCCAG
RNA transcript from Xiphophorus hellerii (green swordtail), 3187 nucleotides. It is a transcript of the gene named ankyrin repeat and SOCS box protein 2-like, with no coding region annotated. The transcript is spliced from 11 exons. Lineage: Eukaryota; Metazoa; Chordata; Actinopteri; Cyprinodontiformes; Poeciliidae. The record is from RefSeq and is a predicted model, not a curated record.